AUUGAACGCUGGCGGCAUGCCUUACACAUGCAAGUCGAACGGCAGCACGGGUGCUUGCACCUGGUGGCGAGUGGCGAACGGGUGAGUAAUACAUCGGAACGUACCUUAUCGUGGGGGAUAACGCAGCGAAAGUUGCGCUAAUACCGCAUACGCCCUGAGGGGGAAAGCGGGGGACCGUAAGGCCUCGCGCGAGUAGAGCGGCCGAUGUCUGAUUAGCUUGUUGGUGAGGUAAAAGCUCACUAAGGCGAUGAUCAGUAGCUGGUCUGAGAGGACGAUCAGCCACACUGGGACUGAGACACGGCCCAGACUCCUACGGGAGGCAGCAGUGGGGAAUUUUGGACAAUGGGGGCAACCCUGAUCCAGCAAUGCCGCGCGAGUGAAGAAGGCCUUCGGGUUGUAAAGCUCUUUUGUCAGGGAAGAAACAGCAGCUCUAACACAGCCUGCGAAUGACGGUACCUGAAGAAUAAGCACCGGCUAACUACGUGCCAGCCGCCGCGGUAA
This 501-nucleotide ribosomal RNA is filed under the name uncultured bacterium. RNAcentral describes it as "partial 16S ribosomal RNA". It matches the Rfam family "Bacterial small subunit ribosomal RNA", at positions 30 to 523 of the family's 1533-position model. The record is from RNAcentral.